Molecule: ribosomal RNA, 1371 nt
Filed under: uncultured bacterium
Lineage: Bacteria
Description: bacterial SSU rRNA
Rfam family: Bacterial small subunit ribosomal RNA
Source: RNAcentral
GAUGAACGCUGGCGGCGUGCCUAAUACAUGCAAGUCGAGCGAACGGACGAGAAGCUUGCUUCUCUGAUGUUAGCGGCGGACGGGUGAGUAACACGUGGAUAACCUACCUAUAAGACUGGGAUAACUUCGGGAAACCGGAGCUAAUACCGGAUAAUAUUUUGAACCGCAUGGUUCAAAAGUGAAAGACGGUCUUGCUGUCACUUAUAGAUGGAUCCGCGCUGCAUUAGCUAGUUGGUAAGGUAACGGCUUACCAAGGCAACGAUGCAUAGCCGACCUGAGAGGGUGAUCGGCCACACUGGAACUGAGACACGGUCCAGACUCCUACGGGAGGCAGCAGUAGGGAAUCUUCCGCAAUGGGCGAAAGCCUGACGGAGCAACGCCGCGUGAGUGAUGAAGGUCUUCGGAUCGUAAAACUCUGUUAUUAGGGAAGAACAUAUGUGUAAGUAACUGUGCACAUCUUGACGGUACCUAAUCAGAAAGCCACGGCUAACUACGUGCCAGCAGCCGCGGUAAUACGUAGGUGGCAAGCGUUAUCCGGAAUUAUUGGGCGUAAAGCGCGCGUAGGCGGUUUUUUAGUCUGAUGUGAAAGCCCACGGCUCAACCGUGGAGGGUCAUUGGAAACUGGAAAACUUGAGUGCAGAAGAGGAAAGUGGAAUUCCAUGUGUAGCGGUGAAAUGCGCAGAGAUAUGGAGGAACACCAGUGGCGAAGGCGACUUUCUGGUCUGUAACUGACGCUGAUGUGCGAAAGCGUGGGGAUCAAACAGGAUUAGAUACCCUGGUAGUCCACGCCGUAAACGAUGAGUGCUAAGUGUUAGGGGGUUUCCGCCCCUUAGUGCUGCAGCUAACGCAUUAAGCACUCCGCCUGGGGAGUACGACCGCAAGGUUGAAACUCAAAGGAAUUGACGGGGACCCGCACAAGCGGUGGAGCAUGUGGUUUAAUUCGAAGCAACGCGAAGAACCUUACCAAAUCUUGACAUCCUCUGACCCCUCUAGAGAUAGAGUUUUCCCCUUCGGGGGACAGAGUGACAGGUGGUGCAUGGUUGUCGUCAGCUCGUGUCGUGAGAUGUUGGGUUAAGUCCCGCAACGAGCGCAACCCUUAAGCUUAGUUGCCAUCAUUAAGUUGGGCACUCUAAGUUGACUGCCGGUGACAAACCGGAGGAAGGUGGGGAUGACGUCAAAUCAUCAUGCCCCUUAUGAUUUGGGCUACACACGUGCUACAAUGGACAAUACAAAGGGUAGCGAAACCGCGAGGUCAAGCAAAUCCCAUAAAGUUGUUCUCAGUUCGGAUUGUAGUCUGCAACUCGACUAUAUGAAGCUGGAAUCGCUAGUAAUCGUAGAUCAGCAUGCUACGGUGAAUACGUUCCCGGGUCU